GACAGUAUGGUGUAGUGGUUAUCACGUCUGCCUCACACGCAGAAGGUCCCCAGUUCGAGCCUGGGUACUGUCA
RNAcentral lists this transfer RNA (73 nucleotides) under Hofstenia miamia. RNAcentral's name for it is "tRNA-Val for anticodon CAC". It matches the Rfam family "tRNA". From Rfam's summary of the family: Transfer RNA (tRNA) molecules are approximately 80 nucleotides in length. Lineage: Eukaryota; Metazoa; Xenacoelomorpha; Acoela; Hofsteniidae. The record is from RNAcentral.